UCCUACGGGAGGCAGCAGUGGGGAAUAUUGCACAAUGGGCGCAAGCCUGAUGCAGCAACGCCGCGUGAGGGACGAAGGCCUUCGGGUUGUAAACCUCUUUUAGUAGGGAAGAAGCGACUGGGUUUUCCUGGGAGUGACGGUACCUGCAGAAAAAGCACCGGCUAACUACGUGCCAGCAGCCGCGGUAAUACGUAGGGUGCAAGCGUUGUCCGGAAUUAUUGGGCGUAAAGAGCUCGUAGGCGGUUUGUCGCGUCUGCUGUGAAAACCCGAGGCUCAACCUCGGGCCUGCAGUGGGUACGGGCAGACUAGAGUGCGGUAGGGGAGAUUGGAAUUCCUGGUGUAGCGGUGGAAUGCGCAGAUAUCAGGAGGAACACCAAUGGCGAAGGCUGAUCUCUGGGCCGUAACUGACGCUGAGGAGCGAAAGCAUGGGGAGCGAACAGGAUUAGAUACCCUGGUAGUCCAUGCCGUAAACGUUGGGAACUAGAUGUGGGGACCGUUCCACGGUCUCCGUGUCGCAGCUAACGCAUUAAGUUCCCCGCCUGGGGAGUACGGCCGCAAGGCUAAAACUCGAAGGAAUUGACGGGGGCCCGCACAAGCGGCGGAGCAUGCGGAUUAAUUCGAUGCAACGCGAAGAACCUUACCAAGGCUUGACAUAUACCGGAAACGGCUGGAAACAGUCGCCCCGCAAGGUCGGUAUACAGGUGGUGCAUGGUUGUCGUCAGCUCGUGUCGUGAGAUGUUGGGUUAAGUCCCGCAACGAGCGCAACCCUCGUCCUAUGUUGCCAGCACGUAAUGGUGGGAACUCGUGGGAUACUGCCGGGGUCAACUCGGAGGAAGGUGGGGAUGACGUCAAAUCAUCAUGCCCCUUAUGUCUUGGGCUUCACGCAUGCUACAAUGGCCGGUACAAAGGGCUGCGAUACCGCAAGGUGGAGCGAAUCCCAAAAAGCCGGUCUCAGUUCGGAUUGAGGUCUGCAACUCGGCCUCAUGAAGUCGGAGUCGCUAGUAAUCGCAGAUCAGCAACGCUGCGGUGAA
Molecule: ribosomal RNA, 1031 nt
Filed under: uncultured Cryobacterium sp.
Lineage: Bacteria; Bacillati; Actinomycetota; Actinomycetes; Micrococcales; Microbacteriaceae
Description: bacterial SSU rRNA
Rfam family: Bacterial small subunit ribosomal RNA
Source: RNAcentral